This is a ribosomal RNA of Neurospora crassa OR74A, 1796 nucleotides long. It matches the Rfam family "Eukaryotic small subunit ribosomal RNA". The record is from Rfam. NCBI's taxonomy places the organism in Eukaryota, Fungi, Ascomycota, Sordariomycetes, Sordariales, Sordariaceae.
UACUUAAUUAAUUUUGUUAAUAGUUAUAUAUUUAUUUUAAAGAUUAAAUUAUAUAUAUUUAAAUUUAAGUAAUUAAACUGUAAAAUUAUAAAUAGUUUAUUAAAUUAGUUAUAGUUUAUUUAAUAGUACCUUACUAUAUAAAUAACUGUAGUAAUUCUAGAAUUAAUAUAUGUUAAAAACCUUGAUUUCGGAAGGGGUAUAUUUAUUAGAUUAAAAACUAAUACCCUUCGAAGUUAAUUAGUAAUUUAUAAUAACUUUUCGAAUUAUAUAACUUUAUAUUAGCGAUAGUUUAUUUAAAUUUCUACCCUAUUAAUUUUCAACGGUUAGGUUUUAGUUAAUUAUAGUAAUAAUAGGUAACGGAGGGUUAGGGCUCAACCCUGGAGAAGGAGUUUAAGAAAUAGCUAUUAUAUUUAAGGAAGGUAGUAGGCGUAUAAAUUACCCAAUUUUAAUAUAGGGAGGUAGUAAUAAUAAAUAUUAAUAUAGGGCUCUUUUAGGUCUUGUAAUUAGAAUAAGUAUAAUUUAAAUCCCUUAACGAAGAAUAAUUAGAGGGUAAGUUUAGUAUUAGUAACUAUAGUAAUUCCAAUUCUAAUAGCGUAUAUUAAAAUUAUUAAAGUUAAAAAGCUCGUAAUUAAACCUUGGGCUCGGCCCGUCGGUCCGCUUUACUGCAUAUACUAAUUAGGUCGGGCCUUUUUUCCUAGAGAACCGUAUACCCUUUACUAAGUGUAUUGGGGAAUUAGGAUUUUUAUUAUAAAUAAAUUAGAUUGUUUAAAGAAGGCCUAUAUUCGAAUAUAUUAGUAUAGAAUAAUAGAAUAGAAUGUAUAGUUCUAUUUUAUUAAUUUUUAGGACUAUUGUAAUAAUUAAUAAGAAUAGUCGGGGGUAUUAAUAUUUAAUUAUUAGAGGUAAAAUUCUUAAAUUUAUUAAAGAUUAACUAUUAUAAAAGUAUUUACUAAGGAUAUUUUUAUUAAUUAGGAACGAAAGUUAGGGGAUUGAAGAUAAUUAGAUAUUAUUAUAGUUUUAAUUAUAAAUUAUACCGAUUAAGGAUCGGACGGUGUUAUUUUUUGACCCGUUUAACACUUUACAAUAAAUUAAAAUAUUUAGGCUCUUAAGGGAAUAUAAUUAUAAGGCUAAAAUUUAAAGAAAUUAAUAGAAGGGUACUACUAGGGGUAGAGCCUACAAUUUAAUUUAAUUUAAUACAGAGAAAUUUACUAAAUUUAAAUAUAAUAAGGAUUAAUAAAUUGAGAGCUCUUUCUUAAUUUCGUAGGUAGUAGUAUAUAGCUGUUCUUAAUUAAUAAAGUGAUUUAUUUAUUUAAUUACAAUAACGAACGAGACUUUAAUUUACUAAAUAGCCUAUAUUAUUUUAGUAGUACACUAGUUUUUUAAAGGGAUUAUCGGUUUAAAUUAAUAGAAGUUUAAAGUAAUAAUAGGUUUAUAAUACCCUUAAAUAUUCUAGGCCGUACGUACGCUAUAUUAAUAUAAUUAGCGAGUACUCCCUUAGCCGGAAGGUCCGGGUAAUUUUAUUAAAUUGUAUUAUAUUAGAAAUAGAGUAUUAUAAUUAUUAUUUUUCAAUGAAGAAUCUUUAGUAAAUAUAAAUUAUUAGUUUACGUUAAUUAUAUCCCUACCCUUUAUAUAUACCGCCCGUCGCUAUUAUUAAUUAAAUAGUUUAGUAAGGCUUCUAAAUUAGCCUAGGAAGGUCGGUAACGACUACUUAAGGCCGGAAAGUUAUUUAAAUUCGGUUAUUUAAAAGAAGUAAAAGUUGUAAUAAAAUCUCCGUUAAUAAAUUAGUAGAAGGAUUAUUA